ACUUUAAGGUUUGUGGGAUUUCUUUCCCUUUAGAAAUGUCCCUCAUAAUUUGUCUCGUUCCACUACAAGACACUUGCUUUAUCCAAAACACAGUCAUAUUCAAAGUAAUCCCAAAUUGGACUCUGACGCUUUCUCCCGACUUUUGUUGACAUGAUGCUACGCGUGGACGGAGCAGCAACACAGACGACCCGACUGAGGUACUUGCCACCUGCUGGCAUAAUAAGGCACAGCAAGAACAUAACCUGGAAAAUACACUUCAUUCUCACCCUUGACUAACGUAUGACACAUACACAUCAACGAAAACUAAACACAUUUUCUCUAUAAAUUCAGUUAAUUUUAGUUAGUUUUGUGAACGGUCAUUUCAGUUUUAGUUAGUUUUCCUUUUAUUGCAAAGUCUCGUUUUUAUUUUUAUUUCCGUUAACGAAACUGUUUUUUAUUCGUUAUUUCGUUAGUUUUCGUUAACGAUAAUAACCUUGCCUCUCACCCCUCUCUGUUAUCUGCCCGGUCGACUAAAAGACGCACAGCCACGGUAACCAGCGCGACAAGUGUACAAAACUAAUGGUGGUGGGUGUAUGCGCUCAGACCAGCUGUCUGCAGCAGCGACGGUGUAACUACGUCACAUUGGGGUUUGGGGUUUUAUUUACCUCUCGCCAGGGCUGAACUCAUUAUGGGUUCACGCCCUUGGCCCACGCCCUCGGAGGAAGAAACACCUGUGCCUCAUCAGUGUGGAUCGUAUUUAAGCCAGGAAGCAACGGCUGUUCUUCGCUGGAUCGUUGUGAGAAUCACACUCCCUGGACUGUUUCACAGGUGUGCGAGUGAAUUUGUGUUUGGAUUGUGUGGAGAGAGACGAGCGUGUUCCCCUGGAUUUUCCCCGGAGCCCUGCCCCCCUCACCUUUUGUACAUAGCACUGCCCCGCACCCUUAUAAAUAGCACUGCCCUGCAUCUGUGUAUAUACACUCAUUGGACAUUGUUCUUUAAUAAAUUCUCUUGUGUGCAUCA
Molecule: long non-coding RNA, 999 nt
Organism: Oreochromis niloticus (Nile tilapia)
Lineage: Eukaryota; Metazoa; Chordata; Actinopteri; Cichliformes; Cichlidae
Exons: 2
Source: RefSeq, a predicted model, not a curated record